GAUGAAGAACGUAGCGAAAUGCGAUAAGUAGUGAAUUGCAGAAUUCAGUGAAUCAUCGAAUCUUUGAACGCACAUUGCGCCCCUUGGUAUUCCAUGGGGCAUGCCUGUUCGAGCGUCAUUUGUACCUUCAAGCUCUGCUUGGUGUUGGGUGUUUGUCUCGCCUCUGCGUGUAGACUCGCCUCAAAACAAUUGGCAGCCGGCGUAUUGAUUUCGGAGCGCAGUACAUCUCGCGCUUUGCACUCAUAACGACGACGUCCAAAAGUACAUUUUUACACUCUUGACCUCGGAUCAGGUAGGGAUACCCGCUGAACUUAAGCAUAUCAAUAAGCGGAGGA
This 335-nucleotide unclassified non-coding RNA is filed under the name soil metagenome. RNAcentral describes it as "partial contains 5.8S ribosomal RNA, internal transcribed spacer 2, and large subunit ribosomal RNA". The stretch from base 1 to 118 matches the Rfam family "5.8S ribosomal RNA", at positions 35 to 154 of the family's 154-position model. The record is from RNAcentral.